GGCGGGGAUGUGGUGUUGGACGACACGAUGAGACGAAACCCCUGGGCACGUGGGCAUCAUAUUGCCAAGGCAGUUUGGAGAACAGAGACAGAGACAGAGAGAGAGAGAGAAAGAGAUAGAGAGACAGAGAGAGAGAGAGAGAGAGAGAGAGAGAGAGAGAGAGCGAGAGAGAGAUUCAUAUUGAAAUUAUGUGUAUAUAAAAGUAUCAACAG
Molecule: long non-coding RNA, 212 nt
Organism: Sebastes umbrosus (honeycomb rockfish)
Lineage: Eukaryota; Metazoa; Chordata; Actinopteri; Perciformes; Sebastidae
Exons: 2
Source: RefSeq, a predicted model, not a curated record